RNAcentral lists this ribosomal RNA (303 nucleotides) under uncultured bacterium. Its description in RNAcentral is "partial 16S ribosomal RNA". It matches the Rfam family "Bacterial small subunit ribosomal RNA", at positions 507 to 807 of the family's 1533-position model. The record is from RNAcentral.
AGCAGCAGCCGCGGGAAUACGAAGGGGGCUAGCGUUGCUCGGAAUUACUGGGCGUAAAGGGCGCGUAGGCGGACAGUUCAGUCGGGGGUGAAAGCCCGGGGCUCAACCUCGGAAUUGCCUUCGAUACUGGCUGUCUUGAGUAUGAGAGAGGUGUGUGGAACUCCGAGUGUAGAGGUGAAAUUCGUAGAUAUUCGGAAGAACACCAGUGGCGAAGGCGACACACUGGCUCAUUACUGACGCUGAGGCGCGAAAGCGUGGGGAGCAAACAGGAUUAGAUACCCCUGUAGUCCCUGUCUCUUAUAC